This 894-nucleotide unclassified non-coding RNA is filed under the name Solanum nigrum (black nightshade). Its description in RNAcentral is "partial external transcribed spacer". Lineage: Eukaryota; Viridiplantae; Streptophyta; Magnoliopsida; Solanales; Solanaceae. The record is from RNAcentral.
UGGGGCAUGUUGGCAUGCACGGCUAGUCCGUGCGACGUCGGCAAGCACCCGCAAAAACACGUCGGCGACGACUCACCGGGCGGCCUUGGCGCGCCAGCGGGGGCAUUUCCUCGCGUCGGUCGGUAGGCUAUUGAUGUGGAACGGCGUUGCUUUCGGGCGUGUGGUGAGUUCUAGAUGCUGCUUGGCAUGCUCUAGGCGCCGCACUCACGGGGCAUACUAAGCCAUGUACGGUCAGUAGCCGAUGUCGCGAUCGAUGCGGGGGGCGCCCGGGCGGAAACUUUGGUGUGCCUUCAGCACCUCUUGCGGGAUUAACUUCUCCCCUCCUGGCGGACCGUGUCUAGCGGGGCUUGCUUUGGCCUUGCGACGUCGGCAUCGGCUUCGGCGCGCGGCAUCUGAUGCCGGGCGUCGGGGCGGUUGUUUGGCGCGCAUCGACGAAGCAUUCGGACGCACGACGCACGAGUGGUGUUCGGCAUGUGUGGUUAGGUUGGAUCCCUGCUCGCGCAGCGACGUCCCGACCCGCACGCCACCUCAGUAGCGGGGCGAGCGCAAAUCAGGCUCGCCCGAAGUCAUUUUCCUGUGCUGCAUACCUAAUGCCCCGGCAUUACCGCGUACGAUACGUCGCCUUUCGCCCCUCGCGCUCCGCGUGCGGGGCGAACCCGAAAGCCGCUCCCGCGUCCCACGCCCUCCUCGCUCCGCCGUGCGAGGUCGUGGUCCGCGGGCGUCGGCUCGGAUUCUCGGAUUCGGUAGACGCAGCGGGCAUGGGGUCCCCUCGCGGGCUCCUAUCUGCCCCCAAAACUAUGCUCCUUGCGAACGACGGUCGCGCCCGCCUUGUGUCUGGCCGCGCCCUUCCGGGGCAGGCCGGGCUCAUGCGGCGCGCGGCUCGCUGAGGAAUGC